RNAcentral lists this ribosomal RNA (789 nucleotides) under uncultured bacterium. RNAcentral's name for it is "bacterial SSU rRNA". It matches the Rfam family "Bacterial small subunit ribosomal RNA", at positions 8 to 798 of the family's 1533-position model. The record is from RNAcentral.
AGAGUUUGAUCAUGGCUCAGGACGAACGCUGGCGGCGUGCUUAACACAUGCAAGUCGAACGGAAAGGCCCCUUCGGGGGUACUCGAGUGGCGAACGGGUGAGUAACACGUGGGUGAUCUGCCCUGCACUUUGGGAUAAGCCUGGGAAACUGGGUCUAAUACCGAAUAGGACCGCAUGCUUCAUGGUGUGUGGUGGAAAGCUUUUGCGGUGUGGGAUGGGCCCGCGGCCUAUCAGCUUGUUGGUGGGGUAAUGGCCUACCAAGGCGACGACGGGUAGCCGGCCUGAGAGGGUGUCCGGCCACACUGGGACUGAGAUACGGCCCAGACUCCUACGGGAGGCAGCAGUGGGGAAUAUUGCACAAUGGGCGCAAGCCUGAUGCAGCGACGCCGCGUGGGGGAUGACGGCCUUCGGGUUGUAAACCUCUUUCAGUAUCGGCGAAGCUCCAGGAUUUUUCUUGGGGUGACGGUAGGUACAGAAGAAGCACCGGCCAACUACGUGCCAGCAGCCGCGGUAAUACGUAGGGUGCGAGCGUUGUCCGGAAUUACUGGGCGUAAAGAGCUCGUAGGUGGUUUGUCACGUUGUCUGUGAAAACUCACAGCUUAACUGUGGGCGUGCGGGCGAUACGGGCAGACUGGAGAACUGUAGGGGAGACUGGAAUUCCUGGUGUAGCGGUGGAAUGCGCAGAUAUCAGGAGGAACACCGGUGGCGAAGGCGGGUCUCCGGGCAGUAACUGACGCUGAGGAGCGAAAGCGUGGGGAGCGAACAGGAUUAGAUACCCUGGUAGUCCAA